AGAACGAACGCUGGCGGCAGGCUUAACACAUGCAAGUCGAGCGCCCCGCAAGGGGGAGCGGCAGACGGGUGAGUAACGCGUGGGAACGUACCCCCCGGUUCGGAAUAACUCAGGGAAACUUGAGCUAAUACCGGAUACGGCUGGAAGGCGAAAGAUUCAUCGCCGGGGGAUCGGCCCGCGUCCGAUUAGCUAGUUGGUGUGGUAACGGCGCACCAAGGCGACGAUCGGUAGCUGGUCUGAGAGGAUGAUCAGCCACAUUGGGACUGAGACACGGCCCAAACUCCUACGGGAGGCAGCAGUGGGGAAUAUUGGACAAUGGGCGCAAGCCUGAUCCAGCCAUGCCGCGUGAGUGAUGAAGGCCUUAGGGUUGUAAAGCUCUUUCACCCACGACGAUAAUGACGGUAGUGGGAGAAGAACGCCCGGCUAACUUCGUGCCAGCAGCCGC
Molecule: ribosomal RNA, 445 nt
Filed under: uncultured bacterium
Lineage: Bacteria
Description: SSU rRNA
Rfam family: Bacterial small subunit ribosomal RNA
Source: RNAcentral